This 253-nucleotide ribosomal RNA is filed under the name uncultured bacterium. RNAcentral's name for it is "partial 16S ribosomal RNA". It matches the Rfam family "Bacterial small subunit ribosomal RNA", at positions 524 to 776 of the family's 1533-position model. The record is from RNAcentral.
GACAGAAGGUGCAAGCGUUACUCGGAAUUACUGGGCGUAAAGCGUCUGUAGGUGUCCUGCCACGUCUGGCGUAAAAGUUCGGGGCUCAACCCCGAAUGCGUGCUGGAAACGAGCGGGAUCGAGUCAUUCAGAGGCAUCUGGAAUGUCGUGUGUAGGGGUAAAAUCCGUAGAUACACGAUGGAACGCCAAAAGCGAAGGCAGGAUGCUGGGAAUGCACUGACACUCAGAGACGAAAGCGUGGGGAGCAAAGGGG